RNAcentral lists this ribosomal RNA (465 nucleotides) under Vreelandella stevensii. RNAcentral describes it as "partial 16S ribosomal RNA". It matches the Rfam family "Bacterial small subunit ribosomal RNA", at positions 338 to 795 of the family's 1533-position model. The record is from RNAcentral. Lineage: Bacteria; Pseudomonadati; Pseudomonadota; Gammaproteobacteria; Oceanospirillales; Halomonadaceae.
CCUACGGGUGGCUGCAGUGGGGAAUAUUGGACAAUGGGCGAAAGCCUGAUCCAGCCAUGCCGCGUGUGUGAAGAAGGCCUUCGGGUUGUAAAGCACUUUCAGUGGGGAAGAAAGCCUUGGGGCUAAUACCCUCGAGGAAGGACAUCACCCACAGAAGAAGCACUGGCUAACUCCGUGCCAGCAGCCGCGGUAAUACGGAGGGUGCGAGCGUUAAUCGGAAUUACUGGGCGUAAAGCGCGCGUAGGCGGUCUGAUAAGCCGGUUGUGAAAGCCCCGGGCUCAACCUGGGAACGGCAUCCGGAACUGUCAGGCUAGAGUGCAGGAGAGGAAGGUAGAAUUCCCGGUGUAGCGGUGAAAUGCGUAGAGAUCGGGAGGAAUACCAGUGGCGAAGGCGGCCUUCUGGACUGACACUGACGCUGAGGUGCGAAAGCGUGGGUAGCAAACAGGAUUAGAUACCCGUGUAGUC